GUGGCCAGAGGCCGCCUUGUCCGCCUCAUUAUUUUUAACCCCGAACUGAUUCAGGGCCUACCGGGGGCGGGGCGGGAAGCGGUGUCUUCACGUUCCAUUCCUCCCACUGAGGCAGGGGAGCAAAUGGAAACCGUACGCGCUUGAAGUGGGAGUUGGGGUUGCUUAUUGUUUUAGUCAUUUUAAGGCGGCGGACUCUUGAUUUCUCCAGUCGGAGCGACUCCAGGUGGUUUCGGGAGAGACG
This 241-nucleotide long non-coding RNA is filed under the name Homo sapiens (human). RNAcentral describes it as "HSALNT0223833". The record is from RNAcentral. Lineage: Eukaryota; Metazoa; Chordata; Mammalia; Primates; Hominidae.